This 1335-nucleotide ribosomal RNA is filed under the name metagenome. Its description in RNAcentral is "bacterial SSU rRNA". It matches the Rfam family "Bacterial small subunit ribosomal RNA", at positions 81 to 1441 of the family's 1533-position model. The record is from RNAcentral.
GCUUCCUCAAUCGAGUGGCGAACGGGUGAGUAACGCGGGAGGAACCUGCCUCAAAGAGGGGGACAACAGUUGGAAACGACUGCUAAUACCGCAUAAGCCCACGGCUCGGCAUCGAGCAGAGGGAAAAGGAGCAAUCCGCUUUGAGAUGGCCUCGCGUCCGAUUAGCUAGUUGGUGAGGUAAUGGCCCACCAAGGCGACGAUCGGUAGCCGGACUGAGAGGUUGAACGGCCACAUUGGGACUGAGACACGGCCAGACUCCUACGGGAGGCAGCAGUGGGGAAUAUUGCACAAUGGGGGAAACCCUGAUGCAGCGACGCCGCGUGGAGGAAGAAGGUCUUCGGAUUGUAAACUCCUGUUGUUGAGGAAGAUAAUGACGGUACUCAACAAGGAAGUGACGGCUAACUACGUGCCAGCAGCCGCGGUAAAACGUAGGUCACAAGCGUUGUCCGGAAUUACUGGGUGUAAAGGGAGCGCAGGCGGGCGAUCAAGUUGGAAGUGAAAUCCAUGGGCUCAACCCAUGAACUGCUUUCAAAACUGAUUGUCUUGAGUAGUGCAGAGGUAGGCGGAAUUCCCGGUGUAGCGGUGGAAUGCGUAGAUAUCGGGAGGAACACCAGUGGCGAAGGCGGCCUACUGGGCACCAACUGACGCUGAGGCUCGAAAGUGUGGGUAGCAAACAGGAUUAGAUACCCUGGUAGUCCACACCGUAAACGAUGAUUACUAGGUGUUGGAGGAUUGACCCCUUCAGUGCCGCAGUUAACACAAUAAGUAAUCCACCUGGGGAGUACGACCGCAAGGUUGAAACUCAAAGGAAUUGACGGGGGCCCGCACAAGCAGUGGAGUAUGUGGUUUAAUUCGACGCAACGCGAAGAACCUUACCAAGUCUUGACAUCCUGCGACGAUGCUAGAAAUAGUAUUUUCCUUCGGGACGCAGAGACAGGUGGUGCAUGGUUGUCGUCAGCUCGUGUCGUGAGAUGUUGGGUUAAGUCCCGCAACGAGCGCAACCCUUAUGGUCAGUUACUACGCGAGAGGACUCUGGCCAGACUGCCGUUGACAAAACGGAGGAAGGUGGGGAUGACGUCAAAUCAUCAUGCCCUUUAUGACUUGGGCUACACACGUACUACAAUGGCGUUAAACAAAGAGAAGCAAGACCGCGAGGUGGAGCAAAACUCAGAAACAACGUCCCAGUUCGGACUGCAGGCUGCAACUCGCCUGCACGAAGUCGGAAUUGCUAGUAAUCGUGGAUCAGCAUGCCACGGUGAAUACGUUCCCGGGCCUUGUACACACCGCCCGUCACACCAUGAGAGCCGGGGGGACCCGAAGUCGGUAGUCUAACCG